This 229-nucleotide ribosomal RNA is filed under the name uncultured bacterium. RNAcentral describes it as "partial 16S ribosomal RNA". It matches the Rfam family "Bacterial small subunit ribosomal RNA", at positions 568 to 796 of the family's 1533-position model. The record is from RNAcentral.
CGUGUAGGCGGCUUGGCAAGUCGGGUGUGAAAGCCCGGGGCUCAACCCCGGAACUGCAUUCGAAACUGCCUGGCUAGAGUUCCGGAGAGGAAGGCAGAAUUCCCGGUGUAGAGGUGAAAUUCGUAGAUAUCGGGAGGAAUACCAGUGGCGAAGGCGGCCUUCUGGACGGCAACUGACGCUGAGACGCGAAAGCGUGGGGAGCAAACAGGAUUAGAUACCCUGGUAGUCC